CGACCCCAGGUCAGGCGGGGCUACCCGCUGAGUCUAAGCAUAUCAAUAA
Molecule: ribosomal RNA, 49 nt
Filed under: Opuntia megacantha
Lineage: Eukaryota; Viridiplantae; Streptophyta; Magnoliopsida; Caryophyllales; Cactaceae
Description: partial 26S ribosomal RNA
Source: RNAcentral